CCUACGGGAGGCAGCAGUGGGGAAUAUUGGACAAUGGGGGGAACCCUGAACCAGCGACGCCGCGUGGGGGAAGAAGUUUUUAGGUAUGUAAAGCCCUAUUAGCAGGGAAGAAAAUGACGGUACCUGACUAAUAAGCCCCGGCUAACUACGUGCCAGCAGCCGCGGUAAUACGGAGGGGGCAAGCGUUACCCGGAUUUACUGGGUGUAAAGGGUGCGUAGACGGGGCAGCAAGUCUGAUGUGAAAGGUGGGGGCUCAACCCCGGGACUGCAUUUGAAACUGUUGAACUAGAGUGUAGGAGAGGUAAGCGGAAUUCCUAGUGUAGCGGUAAAAUGCGUAGAUAUUAAGAGGAACACCAAUGGCGAAGGCGGCUUACUGGAAUAUUACUGACGUUGAGGCUCGAAAGCGUGGGGAGCAAACAGGAUUAGAUACCCGAGUAGUC
This 440-nucleotide ribosomal RNA is filed under the name uncultured bacterium. Its description in RNAcentral is "partial 16S ribosomal RNA". It matches the Rfam family "Bacterial small subunit ribosomal RNA", at positions 338 to 795 of the family's 1533-position model. The record is from RNAcentral.